AAUUUAUUCUGUUGCUCAUGGCAGACGAGGUAGGAACACGUAGGUACGUACCCCAAAGUCAAGGAUAAUCCGGUGAAAAUCGGGAUAAUACUUGAUAGUCUCUUCGGAGUAAAGAUUUAUCGCUUUGGGAACGGCCUGCGUUCCAUCAGCUUGAUGGUAAGGUAACGGCUUACCAUGGCUACGACGGAUUGGGGAGGUGAGAGCCUGACCCCCACCGACGGAACUGAGACACGGUCCGU
RNAcentral lists this ribosomal RNA (239 nucleotides) under uncultured bacterium. Its description in RNAcentral is "partial 16S ribosomal RNA". It matches the Rfam family "Bacterial small subunit ribosomal RNA", at positions 77 to 334 of the family's 1533-position model. The record is from RNAcentral.